GACGAACGCUGGCGGCGUGCUUAACACAUGCAAGUCGAGCGGUAAGGCCCUUUCGGGGGUACACGAGCGGCGAACGGGUGAGUAACACGUGGGUGACCUGCCCUCAGCUCUGGGAUAAGCCUGGGAAACCGGGUCUAAUACUGGAUAUGACUCCAUGACGCAUGUUGUGGGGUGGAAAGCCUUGUGCGGCUGAGGAUGGGCCCGCGGCCUAUCAGCUUGUUGGUGGGGUGAGGCCUACCAAGGCGACGACGGGUAGCCGGCCUGAGAGGGCGACCGGCCACACUGGGACUGAGACACGGCCCAGACUCCUACGGGAGGCAGCAGUGGGGAAUCUUGCGCAAGUGGGACGAAAGCCUGACGCAGCGACGCCGCGUGAGGGAUGACGGCC
Molecule: ribosomal RNA, 388 nt
Filed under: uncultured bacterium
Lineage: Bacteria
Description: bacterial SSU rRNA
Rfam family: Bacterial small subunit ribosomal RNA
Source: RNAcentral